AUUGAACGCUGGCGGCAGGCCUAACACAUGCAAGUCGAGCGAGCGGCGGACGCGUGAGUAAUGCCUGGGAAUUGCCCAGUCGAGGGGAAUAACAGUUCGAAACGACUGCUAAUACCGCAUACGAUUUGAUUGCCCAGGUGGGAUUAGCUCGUUGGUGAGGUAAUGGCUCACCAAGGCGACGAUGCCUAGCUGGUCUGAGAGGAUGAGCGGCCACACUGGAACUGAGACACGGCACAGACUCCUACGGGAGGAAGCAGUGGGGAAUAUUGCACAAUGGGGGAAACCCUGAUGCAGCCAUGCCGCGUGUGUGAAGAAGGCUUUCGGGUUGUAAAGCACUUUCAGCGAGGAGGCGUUACUCGCAGAAGAAGCACCGGCUAACUCCGUGCCAGCAGCCGCGGUAAUUC
This 404-nucleotide ribosomal RNA is filed under the name uncultured bacterium. RNAcentral's name for it is "partial 16S ribosomal RNA". It matches the Rfam family "Bacterial small subunit ribosomal RNA", at positions 30 to 526 of the family's 1533-position model. The record is from RNAcentral.